GGUAGGGUAAUGGCCUACCAAGGCAACGAUGGUUAGCUGGUCUGAGAGGAUGAUCAGCCACACUGGAACUGAGACACGGUCCAGACUCCUACGGGAGGCAGCAGUGAGGAAUAUUGCGCAAUGGGGGCAACCCUGACGCAGCAACGCCGCGUGAGUGAGGAAGGUUUUCGGACCGUAAAGCUCUGUCGAGCGGGAAGAAAUGCAUAGUGGCUAAUAUCCAUUAUGCUUGACGGUACCGCUAAAGGAAGCACCGGCUAACUCCGUGCCAGCAGCCGCGGUAAUACGGGGGGUGCUAGCGUUGUUCGGAAUCAUUGGGCGUAAAGAGCGUGUAGGCGGCUGGAUAAGUCAGAUGUGAAAGCCCUGGGCUUAACCCAGGAAGUGCAUUUGAAACUGUUCAGCUUGAGUAAGGGAGAGGAAAGUGGAAUUCCUGGUGUAGAGGUGAAAUUCGUAGAUAUCAGGAGGAACACCGGUGGCGAAGGCGACUUUCUGGCCCUAUACUGACGCUGAGACGCGAGAGCGUGGGUAGCAAACAGGAUUAGAUACCCUGGUAGUCCACGCUGUAAACGAUGUUCACUAGGUGUUGGGGGUAUUGACCCUCUCAGUGCCGCAGCUAACGCA
RNAcentral lists this ribosomal RNA (618 nucleotides) under uncultured bacterium. RNAcentral describes it as "bacterial SSU rRNA". It matches the Rfam family "Bacterial small subunit ribosomal RNA", at positions 251 to 859 of the family's 1533-position model. The record is from RNAcentral.